This is a long non-coding RNA of Saccostrea cuccullata (small rock oyster), 187 nucleotides long. RefSeq lists it as uncharacterized. The record is from RefSeq and is a predicted model, not a curated record. Lineage: Eukaryota; Metazoa; Mollusca; Bivalvia; Ostreida; Ostreidae. The transcript has 3 exons.
UGCCAUUGUUUACACCAUUUCAUGUACCAGAAAGGAAAUUUUGUUCAUGUAAAAGAGAGGACGUUCACUUGCAUUACGCAGACCACGUUUACCUUAAAAACGAAGUCUUUUGUCUUCACAACAACAAUACGCUUUGUCCCUCGCCUGAGAGGAAUUCCUCAUCUAACUGCUUGGAAGAGAAGAGACA